This 75-nucleotide transfer RNA is filed under the name Candidatus Nanopusillus sp. Its description in RNAcentral is "tRNA-Arg". It matches the Rfam family "tRNA". From Rfam's summary of the family: Transfer RNA (tRNA) molecules are approximately 80 nucleotides in length. Their secondary structure includes four short double-helical elements and three loops (D, anti-codon, and T loops). The record is from RNAcentral. Lineage: Archaea; Nanobdellati; Nanobdellota; Candidatus Nanoarchaeia; Nanoarchaeales; Nanopusillaceae.
GGGCCCGUAGCUCAGCAUGGAUAGAGCGGCGGCCUCCUAAGCCGCAGGUCGCGGGUUCGAAUCCCGCCGGGCCCG